RNAcentral lists this ribosomal RNA (438 nucleotides) under uncultured bacterium. RNAcentral describes it as "bacterial LSU rRNA". It matches the Rfam family "Bacterial large subunit ribosomal RNA", at positions 1563 to 1994 of the family's 2925-position model. The record is from RNAcentral.
GAGAAGUGGAGACUUUGUCAAAGCGACGAGAUUGAGCCCACGCUGGCGAGAAAAGCCUCGCUGCUAGUUACCAUCGCGCCCGUACCGCAAACCGACACUGGUAGGUGGUGGUGAGAACCACAAGGCGAACGGGAGAACCCUCCUUAAGGAAUUCGGCAAAUUAGAUCCGUAACUUCGGGAGAAGGAUCGCCCCUGGAGGUGUACCGGUAUACCCGGGAAGCUGACGGGGGCCGCAGUGAGCAGGCCCAGGCGACUGUUUAUCAAAAUCACAGGUCUCUGCAAAAGCGAAAGCUGACGUAUAGGGGCUGACGCCUGCCCAGUGCCGGAAGGUUAAGGGGAGAGACUUCACGGCUUGAACCGAAGCCCCGGUGAACGGCGGCCGUAACUAUAACGGUCCUAAGGUAGCGAAAUUCCUUGUACGGUAGUUCCGACCGCACG